This 408-nucleotide ribosomal RNA is filed under the name uncultured bacterium. RNAcentral's name for it is "bacterial SSU rRNA". It matches the Rfam family "Bacterial small subunit ribosomal RNA", at positions 354 to 777 of the family's 1533-position model. The record is from RNAcentral.
GUGGGGGAUAUUGCACAAUGGGGGAAACCCUGAUGCAGCGACGCCGCGUGAGGGAAGACGGCCUUCGGGUUGUAAACCUCUGUCGCAGGGGACGAAGGAAGUGACGGUACCCUGUGAGGAAGCCACGGCUAACUACGUGCCAGCAGCCGCGGUAAUACGUAGGUGGCAAGCGUUGUCCGGAAUUACUGGGUGUAAAGGGAGCGUAGGCGGGAGUGCAAGUUGAAUGUAUAAACUAUCGGCUCAACUGAUAGAAGCGUUCAAAACUGCACUUCUUGAGUGAAGUAGAGGCAGGCGGAAUUCCUAGUGUAGCGGUGAAAUGCGUAGAUAUUAGGAGGAACACCAGUGGCGAAGGCGGCCUGCUGGGCUUUAACUGACGCUGAGGCUCGAAAGCGUGGGUAGCAAACAGGA